Molecule: ribosomal RNA, 292 nt
Filed under: uncultured bacterium
Lineage: Bacteria
Description: partial 16S ribosomal RNA
Rfam family: Bacterial small subunit ribosomal RNA
Source: RNAcentral
GUGCCAGCAGCCGCGGUAAGACGGAGGAUGCAAGCGUUAUCCGGAAUUAUUGGGCGUAAAGCGUUCGCAGGUGGCAAUUCAAGUCUGCUGUCAAAUCGCGAGGCUCAACCUCGUACAGGCAGUGGAAACUGGAUAGCUAGAGUAUGGUAGGGGUAGAGGGAAUUCCCGGUGUAGCGGUGAAAUGCGUAGAGAUCGGGAAGAACACCAGUGGCGAAAGCGCUCUACUGGGCCAUAACUGACACUGAGGGACGAAAGCUAGGGGAGCGAAAGGGAUUAGAUACCCUUGUAGUCC